ACUCUAGUCCGACUUUGUGAAAUAACUUAAGAGGUGUAGAAUAAGUGGGAGCUUCGGCAACGGUGAAAUACCACUACUUUUAACGUUGUUUUACUUAUUCCAUUACUUGGAGGCGGGACUCUGUCCCUGCUUCUGGCUCUAAGGCGGCUUUAUUGCACGCCGAUCCAGGUGGAAGACAUUGUCAGGUGGGGAGU
This 194-nucleotide non-coding RNA is filed under the name Volvox carteri f. nagariensis. RNAcentral describes it as "Eukaryotic large subunit ribosomal RNA". It matches the Rfam family "Eukaryotic large subunit ribosomal RNA", at positions 2425 to 2620 of the family's 3401-position model. Lineage: Eukaryota; Viridiplantae; Chlorophyta; Chlorophyceae; Chlamydomonadales; Volvocaceae. The record is from Rfam by way of RNAcentral.